GUCCACGCCGUAAACGAUGGAUGCUAGCCGUCAGCAAGCAUGCUUGUUGGUGGCGCAGCUAACGCAUUAAGCAUCCCGCCUGUGGAGUACGGCCGCAAGGUUAAAACUCAAAGGAAUUGACGGGGGCCCCGCACAAGCGGUGGAGCAUGUGGUUUAAUUCGACGCAACGCGAAGAACCUUACCAGCCCUUGACAUGUCCGGACGGUUUCCAGAGAUGGAUUCCUCCUAGCAAUAGGUCGGAACACAGGUGCUGCAUGGCUGUCGU
Molecule: ribosomal RNA, 265 nt
Filed under: uncultured bacterium
Lineage: Bacteria
Description: partial 16S ribosomal RNA
Rfam family: Bacterial small subunit ribosomal RNA
Source: RNAcentral